RNAcentral lists this transfer RNA (72 nucleotides) under Streptomyces humidus. Its description in RNAcentral is "tRNA-Thr". Lineage: Bacteria; Bacillati; Actinomycetota; Actinomycetes; Kitasatosporales; Streptomycetaceae. The record is from RNAcentral.
CGUCGGCCAUGCCGUCGAGGUGGGCCGGUCGCUGGUGGCGGCCGGCGCCGCCUUCGAACACCGGGCCGUCGU